CUACGGGAUGCUGCAGUGGGGAAUAUUGCGCAAUGGGGGAAACCCUGACGCAGCAACGCCGUGUGAGUGAAGAAGGCUUUCGGGUUGUAAAGCUCUGUCAGAAGGGAAGAAACCGAUUCAGACGAAUAAUCUGAGUCCUUGACGGUACCUUCAGAGGAAGCACCGGCUAACUUCGUGCCAGCAGCCGUGGUAAUACGAAGGGUGCAAGCGUGGUUCGGAAUUACUGGGUGUAAAGGGUGUGUAGGCGGUUAAGUAAGUCAAAUGUGAAAGCCCUGGGCUUAACUCAGGAAUUGCAUAUGAUACUGCUUAACUAGAGUGUGAAAGAGGAAAGCGGAAUUCCUAGUGUAGCGGUGAAAUGCGUAGAUAUUAGGAGGAACACCAGUGGCGAAAGCGGCUUUCUGGUUCAACACUGACGCUGAGACACGAAGGCGUGGGUAGCAAACAGGAUUAGAUACCCCCGUAGUC
This 465-nucleotide ribosomal RNA is filed under the name uncultured bacterium. Its description in RNAcentral is "partial 16S ribosomal RNA". It matches the Rfam family "Bacterial small subunit ribosomal RNA", at positions 339 to 795 of the family's 1533-position model. The record is from RNAcentral.